CAGUCGCCGCGGGAAUACGGAGGGGGCUAGCGUUGUUCGGAAUUACUGGGCGUAAAGCGUACGUAGGCGGCUUUGUAAGUUAGAGGUGAAAGCCUGGAGCUCAACUCCAGAAUUGCCUUUAAGACUGCAUCGCUUGAACGUCGGAGAGGUGAGUGGAAUUCCGAGUGUAGAGGUGAAGUUCGUAGAUAUUCGGAAGAACACCAGUGGCGAAGGCGGCUCACUGGACGACUGUUGACGCUGAGGAGCGAAAGCGUGGGGAGCGAACAGGAUUAGAUACCCCCGUAGUCCCUGUCUCUUAUAC
RNAcentral lists this ribosomal RNA (301 nucleotides) under uncultured bacterium. RNAcentral's name for it is "partial 16S ribosomal RNA". It matches the Rfam family "Bacterial small subunit ribosomal RNA", at positions 509 to 807 of the family's 1533-position model. The record is from RNAcentral.